AACAUCGCGCACCUGCGGGAACCUGCGGAAGGAUCAUCAUCGAAUUCAUAUCCCCCUCCUCUCCCGGAGGGGGACCCAUGAUAAACCCUUCUGUGCACCGUAACCGUUCACUUUGGCAGGCUUUGGUGGUGAGCGUGAGAUCGCCUCCAACCUCGCGUUCCCUCCCUAAGGGGUGUUACGCGUGGCGGCCUGCCGGAGUCCCAUUAAAAAACUCGUUUUCGAACACGUCUGAAAAUUUCC
Molecule: unclassified non-coding RNA, 240 nt
Filed under: soil metagenome
Description: partial contains 5.8S ribosomal RNA, internal transcribed spacer 2, and large subunit ribosomal RNA
Source: RNAcentral